ACUCCUACGGGAGGCAGCAGUGGGGAAUAUUGGGCAAUGGGGGGAACCCUGACCCAGCAACGCCGCGUGAAGGACGAAGGCCUUCGGGUUGUAAACUUCUUUGAACAGGGACGAAACAAAUGACGGUACCUGAAGAACAAGCCACGGCUAACUACGUGCCAGCAGCCGCGGUAAUACGUAGGUGGCGAGCGUUAUCCGGAUUUACUGGGUGUAAAGGGCGUGUAGGCGGACCGGCAAGUCGGGUGUGAAAUCCCCGGGCUUAACUCGGGUAUGUCAUCCGAAACUGCAGGUCUUGAGUACUGGAGAGGAUAGUGGAAUUCCUAGUGUAGCGGUAAAAUGCGUAGAUAUUAGGAGGAACACCAGUGGCGAAGGCGGCUAUCUGGCCAGUAACUGACGCUGAGGCGCGAAAGCGUGGGGAGCAAACAGGAUUAGAUACCCUGGUAGUC
This 446-nucleotide ribosomal RNA is filed under the name uncultured bacterium. RNAcentral's name for it is "bacterial SSU rRNA". It matches the Rfam family "Bacterial small subunit ribosomal RNA", at positions 335 to 795 of the family's 1533-position model. The record is from RNAcentral.